UACAGAUUCAACAAAUAUUCCUCUUGCAUUUUGGAGGAAAAAAAGCUUAUCUAUGAUAACAUAUUUUUCUCUUUAGAAUACUAAAAUUAUAUUAAUCAAUAAACAAUUUAGAGAGUAGUUCUGGUAAGACAAUGUCAGGUGUCAGACUUAAUUGAAAAAAUUUCAGCCCCUUAGUUUCUUAUAUAGCUAUUAAAGGGAAUAAUUUUAUUCCUUUGGGAUUUCAACUUUUUCAUGGAUAAUUUUCAAAAUAUUUAAUUACAAUAGUUUCUACAUUUCUUCCAAAAUUAUUACAUAUUUCAGUACAUCUUACUGUUAAAGAUCUUUUAUACUUUUUAUUUUUUUUUCCUAUUGUACUUUUUACUGGUCUCUCCAAUUCUUAAAUACCAUCACCAAAAAGUUUUUGUGGCUACUGUUUUACAGUUAGCUUUACAGAAAACCAUAUGGCUGGUUUGUUCUCUUCAGAAAUUCCUAGUGGGUAUUGCUUUCCUUUCCCCAACUGUUUGCUUUUAUAUGGAUUUGUAGCAAAAAUAUGAGUAAACAAUAAUCAUCUAACCAGUCAUUUUCUGUCUGGUUCAUUGUUAUAGAAGUGAAUUACAUUAAGAUUGAAAAAUACUGAACACAUAUGAUUUGCUUCUUACGUCAAUCUUUCUGGGACCCAGAUUAAAUAGGAGUAUUUCAGUGUUAUCAUAGAGGUGACAGUGAUUUGAA
Molecule: long non-coding RNA, 708 nt
Filed under: Bos taurus (domestic cattle)
Lineage: Eukaryota; Metazoa; Chordata; Mammalia; Artiodactyla; Bovidae
Description: long non-coding RNA NONBTAT011486
Source: RNAcentral